GACAUUCACCCAAGUCAGGUGCACAAUUUAACAGUGAAAAUGUGGUGUUUCGUUAUAAAAACGUUUUGCCUGCUGCGUAGCUAAAGUCUAGUGGUUUUUCAGUCAACGAAAGGGCAUCAACCGAAUGUCAUCGUAAUAAUUGAAAGAAGAGAAGGGCAAAGACGAAAAGCGAGUAAAUAGAACGACAGAGCAAGAUGAGAUAGACAGAUCGAGUAGAAUACAUGCAAUUUGAUCCACUUGAUCCCAUUUUCGGGAGCUCCGCCAUUUGCUGCAGCUCUCACGUGGCAACCCGCCUGCUUAUUGCAUCUCUCCGUGUGUAUAGUGAACGCAUCGUGUUGGCGGAAAAUGGUCAACAACUCGGGUCGUUGACUCUUCUCCAUCUUAGUCGACGGAUGGCGAUUUAAAAAAAGAAAGGGUCGUUGUCUCAGAGUACAGUUUUAGUCGCACGAACUGCGAAUGUUUCGCCGAUGCUUGUGAUUUGGAAAAAAAAAAGGUCCAGGGAAAAAUCAAAAAUCCAGGCGAGAACGGGACAGGGUGUUCAGGGUAUUACGCAGGAAGUGAAGCUGAAUGGAAGGAUUUUAUUCGGCAACGUUUGAAAUCAUUGGCGUAUAUUUCGGAUCUUUUUCUUAUUUGUAUUUUGUAAAAAAAAAAAAUUUUGAUCCGUGACUGGACCCGAAAGUGAAAUCUUUUCCCAGCCUGCGGGAAUUGGCCCAAAAUUCUUUUAUUUUGGCAAAAUAAAAUAAAAAAAAUGGCAUUACAAUAAAGCAAGGACAAGAGGAGAACGUUGUUUUGGUACUACUUUCUUUCAUGGCUGUUGAACAUCAUCAUCGUCAGAGACGUCAUUUUCUCUCACUCCAUUCUUGGUUUUUCUUGUCCGCCUCGCUCUCGAUUUUUCAUACAAUCAAACGAGUCAAGGAUAGUUCCGAAGAAAGGCAGUGUAGCUCCUGGCUUUUGCUAGCAACAACUGGAACAGAGGGGAAAGUCGUACAUUUAUUGGGAACCGUUCCAAAACCCAUCUUACGUUGUGCCCAUGCAACCGUAUCGAUUGUAAAAAAAAAAAAGACGGAGGCUGCAAAGUGACUAGUUGAAAAAUAGGAAAAAGGGGGGAAAGAAAACGAGAGAUAAAAUGAAAUGAAUCGAAUGGUUUUUGCCCUCUUGGAAGAUAUCAGAUAGCUUACGUACCAAAUUCUGUCGGCGUAGCCUUUGCGCCCGUGGCGGCUUGUUAAGGGCUGCGUGCGGGAGAUAUUCUGCAGUUUCCUCUUGUCUCGUUAAAAAAAAGGGGGGGAAAGGCCAAGAGCUUCUUUUUUUUUUUUCGAUUUUAGCGAAACCAAGCGUUCCAUCUCGAGUGGUCUGUGAUGUCGUUGCCAUUAUCUAGACUUCCCUUAAGCAAACGACGCACGUUGCUGCUCCAACGAAAACAAUUAGACGGUGCCUCUUACGGGUGAAAUAUAAUAAUGAUGCGGUCAGCAGCGUCUCACAGAGGAAACCUGCUGUUGUGGGCAACUAUUGCACCGUAUCGGUCGUAAACUGCCGGACGUUGGCCUGUGUUUAAGCGAUGACGAAGCCAACACGAUCCCUCGGCGCACACUAAAAGACUCUUCUCAACUAGAAUUGUGUGUACGUGAAAGAAAUGUGGGUCGCCUUGAAUACGCACACGAGAAAAGAUUAUUAACGAAACAAAAGAGAAAGCGGUUGCACUAGCGGGAACAUGUGUAGCCGAAUAAUGUGAAGCAGACUAUACGCGAAGCUCGUACACGUAGCCGCAGACAACAAGAACAGCUUGCAGCUUCCGUGUAGCAGCAGCAAUUCAGUGAGCGUUACCCAAAGGCAAAAGUAUAGCGAAGCUGCGUUAGUGAUGGUCUCCUACAUAUACAAAAGGAGACGAAAUUGAAUCAGUCCCGGAUGCAAUUGCAGACCUCCGGGAGUUGAGAAGAAAGACGAGGUGGCCUCGGAAAAAGAAAAGCAAUGAGACUUACUGCACAGGCAGCUAGAAGAAGACCCAAAGAAUAAGAAAGUUACACGGAAGACAGCGAGCAAUCUGCUGUAUAUAUACAUGGACGACUCUGAUGCCGUACACGGAAGGGAAUUGCAUCGUAUGAAUUUCUUUCCCUAUGGUUAUAGCCGUUGAAAGUCUUUUUCUAUACCGCAGUCACGUCUUCUGAAACCAAUCAAGUUACUGGGAUGCCACGAGAAAAGAAGAGCCGAAACACAAAAAAAGGACUUUGCUGAAAAGAUCGAAGGCCUCAACGAAUAGGCGAACGAUCCAUAACGCUACCCUCUUGCCGAUGGUUCCACUUCGACGAACACUCGGUGUAUAUACAGAAUCCAGAAAAUGUGUAAGCUGACAAUCAGCGUAUGAUGAACGGGAUUCAUUAGUGCAGGAAUCAGCAGUUUGUGUUGCACCACAAAAGCCGACAUCGUAAACGGGAUCAUAACAAGAUAAUGGCAUCCAAUAAUUGCUCGAUGAGGCUUUCCUAUCACAUAUACAAUUACACAUCCAACAAGCUGACACAGAGCUACCAAUUUCCCGAGCUGAAGGAAAAUCAUUCGCAUGCUCACAGAGACUUGACAAUCGUCAGCACUUGAUAGUUGGAUCAUCCGUCAGCGAGUCGUCAAUCGUCUGCAAUUGGUUGGGCCAAAGUUCCCAGCAACGAACCUGAUGAUGCGUGUGUGUGUGUUUUGUUUUCUCCUCCGCUUCAUCCAUUCGGCGCGUCGUUGGCACUCUGACAGGCGACGUUAUUUCAGCGAGGGAUGAUGAUGCUAACCAUUUCGUUGACGGAGAUCCAGCCCUAGGGAUCUAUAAACCAUUUGGUUGGUUCGUGUCGUCUUGACUGGAAUGACUUUAUCCAAACUUUUUACGUGUAAACCUGGCCAAACGUCUUCCCACCAACUAGUAAGGUUCCUUUUCUUUUUAUUAGUUCCUUUUUUUUAUUUUCAAAUCCAAGUCAUCCAUCUAUCAUGGGAUUCUUGACUGGCUGGAAUACUUUCUUUUUUAUAUAAUCAUGACAUCACUAAGACGUUGUUGGAACAACAGACGGAUCUUUUCACAUCAAACAUUGAUGGCCAAAUGCAGACGACUGCUAUGUCUGCAUACCACAAAAGCAUAAAUAUGGAUGAUAUGCAACUCCAGGCCAAGAACCUACUCGGCGAUACUUAAGCCGUAGCACACACUCACUGAUGAUGCAGAUGUUUUAUCCCUUCAGAUUUUUUUUUUUUUUUUAAUGCUGUUGCUUUCUCAGGAUUAAAUUCCUAUAGUCGCCAAACUAGACGUCCAAGAAUUUGGGAUUUCACGAAAGCCCUUCUUAACUGGUGGAACACGUUCUCGCCGCCGGAUGAACUGCUUUCGGCUCUGCGUCAUCGAAGUUGAUUUUACAAAAAAGAAGAAAACAGGCGUUGUGGUACAUGUGCCUAAGGAUAAAAUGGAAUCACGUUCCGCUUUUCGAGGAAUUGUUCUAUUGUCGACCACCUCUGCAUAACAGAAAGAAAAGAAAGAAAAAAAUUCUGCACACUCUAUCGAAUUGUGCUUGAACGUGGGGACCCCAUCUGCAAACGGGUUGCGCAGCUCAUUUGAAUACCAAAUAUCGGCAAUUACAAUGAAGAUGCCGUAUACAUAAAUCUUGUGGUUAAUAGCUCCAUUGCAUGGAUCAAGUCCGUUUUCGCUAGACUUGUUUGAACGCCCGUCGUUGCCAUCGACCGAGCCACUUGGACAAAACAAAACAACGAUAAAAAAAAACAAGGAAAGGAUGACAGCAGGCCCCACGGCUUCAAAUGAUGGACGGUCGGGCGAUCAAGUUAUUUCUGUCGGGGCAUUUCCAGUGGCAAGCGACUAGGGCCAUAUCUCUAAAUAGUAAUGCACUUUCAUACUUUUCAAUGCGUUUAUUCGCCUCUGACUCUUUCCUUUUCUCAUGUUUUUAUCUUAAUCGUCCUGCUGCCUCCCCGCCGGGAGUUGGCGAGAGAUCACAGCCACUAGAAACCAAGUUGCUGCCGGAUUGGAAGAGUUUACAGCUGCGCUGCAGAGUCCCAUUUGGCUUGUCACGCUCUGUAUCGUAUAGACUCAGUUGCUGUUGAAUAGAGCCGCUCAACAACCCAAUUAGAGAAUACGGGACUGUUCUUAUAUGUAUAUAAAAAUUUUCUGACAGCAGGAAAAAGACAAAUUUGAUUCUUAAGCGUGCGAUGGCCUUUUUUUUUCUUUGUUCCUCCUAUUUUUUAAACCCUAUUUUCCGAUUUCGUCCUUCCGUUUCAUCUUCCGUUUCACUAUUUCUUUCCAUAGGAUUAGACAGCUCUUGAGAUGGAUGAUGGAGGACAGAUAAGAGACUUUUGCAACAUAACGAUGAACGCUGUCCGAAAUCAAUUACCGGUUACAGAUGUCGCUCAUAUCGCUAGUCACGAUGGGAUGCGUAACUAGCCGGGCGAAGGCACUGAUCGUUUGUGCUGGCCUGUCGUUUGUAUUUAUCUCUAAAGAUAUGAUUGAAUAAGUUUCCCAAAAGGGCUCAUCUUUUUAAACGGUUCUACUCUCAGUGUAUCGUUUAUUUCCUGUCUGCCUCCACAACAAACAAAAAAAAUCCAUGGGCUUGAAGAGAUAAAGUGGUAUUAAAACUGUCAGCACAGCCAUCUCAGCCCACUGUCCAUUGGCAAUCUAAAGGUUAAAGUGGAAACUAGCAGCCAGACAAAAUUUCUUUGGUUGGGUGUUCAUGAAUAACUUUAAUCACCAGCAGUGCUAGAGGGGCGGAAAAUAAAGUAUUCGUCUAUGUCAUUAAAAGAUUAAUAAAAUAUUUUGCAAGAACUGCAA
Molecule: long non-coding RNA, 4789 nt
Filed under: Daphnia magna
Lineage: Eukaryota; Metazoa; Arthropoda; Branchiopoda; Diplostraca; Daphniidae
Description: uncharacterized LOC123470295, transcript variant X1
Source: RNAcentral